GACGAACGCUGGCGGCGUGCUUAACACAUGCAAGUCGAACGAAGAACCACCCUUCGGGGUGGGGACGAGUGGCGAACGGGUGAGUAACACGUGGGCAACCUGCCCCUCGCUCUGGGAUAACCCCGGGAAACCGGGGCUAAUACCGGAUAUUCACCUCCGCAGGCAUCUGUGGAGGUGGAAAGGAUUCUGGCGAGGGAUGGGCCCGCGGCCUAUCAGCUUGUUGGUGGGGUAACGGCCUACCAAGGCGACGACGGGUAACCGGCCUGAGAGGGCGACCGGUCACACUGGGACUGAGACACGGCCCAGACUCCUACGGGAGGCAGCAGUGGGGAAUAUUGCGCAAUGGGCGAAAGCCUGACGCAGCAACGCCGCGUGAGGGAUGAAGUACGUCGAGAUGUAAACCUCUUUCAGCAGGGACGAAGCGAAAGUGACGGUACCUGCAGAAGAAGCGCCGGCUAACUACGUG
This 466-nucleotide ribosomal RNA is filed under the name uncultured organism. RNAcentral describes it as "bacterial SSU rRNA". It matches the Rfam family "Bacterial small subunit ribosomal RNA", at positions 28 to 507 of the family's 1533-position model. The record is from RNAcentral.